UUUUAGCAGGGAAGAAGCGAAAGUGACGGUACCUGCAGAAAAAGCGCCGGCUAACUACGUGCCAGCAGCCGCGGUAAUACGUAGGGCGCAAGCGUUAUCCGGAAUUAUUGGGCGUAAAGAGCUCGUAGGCGGUUUGUCGCGUCUGCUGUGAAAUCCGGAGGCUCAACCUCCGGCCUGCAGUGGGUACGGGCAGACUAGAGUGCGGUAGGGGAGAUUGGAAUUCCUGGUGUAGCGGUGGAAUGCGCAGAUAUCAGGAGGAACACCGAUGGCGAAGGCAGAUCUCUGGGCCGUAACUGACGCUGAGGAGCGAAAGGGUGGGGAGCAAACAGGCUUAGAUACCCUGGUAGUCCACCCCGUAAACGUUGGGAACUAGUUGUGGGGUCCAUUCCACGGAUUCCGUGACGCAGCUAACGCAUUAAGUUCCCCGCCUGGGGAGUACGGCCGCAAGGCUAAAACUCAAAGGAAUUGACGGGGACCCGCACAAGCGGCGGAGCAUGCGGAUUAAUUCGAUGCAACGCGAAGAACCUUACCAAGGCUUGACAUAUACGAGAACGGGCCAGAAAUGGUCAACUCUUUGGACACUCGUAAACAGGUGGUGCAUGGUUGUCGUCAGCUCGUGUCGUGAGAUGUUGGGUUAAGUCCCGCAACGAGCGCAACCCUCGUUCUAUGUUGCCAGCACGUAAUGGUGGGAACUCAUGGGAUACUGCCGGGGUCAACUCGGAGGAAGGUGGGGAUGACGUCAAAUCAUCAUGCCCCUUAUGUCUUGGGCUUCACGCAUGCUACAAUGGCCGGUACAAAGGGCUGCAAUACCGCGAGGUGGAGCGAAUCCCAAAAAGCCGGUCCCAGUUCGGAUUGAGGUCUGCAACUCGACCUCAUGAAGUCGGAGUCGCUAGUAAUCGCAGAUCAGCAACGCUGCGGUGAAUACGUUCCCGGGUCUUGUACACACCGCCCGUCAAGUCAUGAAAGUCGGUAACACCUGAAGCCGGUGGCCUAACCCUUGUGGAGGGAGCCGUCGAAGGUGG
This 1022-nucleotide ribosomal RNA is filed under the name Microbacterium paraoxydans. Its description in RNAcentral is "bacterial SSU rRNA". It matches the Rfam family "Bacterial small subunit ribosomal RNA", at positions 434 to 1465 of the family's 1533-position model. The record is from RNAcentral. Lineage: Bacteria; Bacillati; Actinomycetota; Actinomycetes; Micrococcales; Microbacteriaceae.